AUACUGUUAAAGCUUCUCAAGCCUUGGAAAUGAGAAACUGUGGAUGGCAGCAGUGGGUUCUUCUGGAAGUCCUGCAGGGUUGGCUGUGUGGUCCUCGGCUGGCAGAGGUUUGGAAACCUCCGUGCACGCACUUGGCCUUAGGGGAGCUGGGUUCUGCUCCACUCCCAGCCCCAGGACCCGCAGUGCUCCUCUCUGCCCUCGUGUUGCCCUUCAGCAGGGUUGUGUUCAGGCAAACCAAGCUCCACCUCAACUUUCUGUGCGUGGUGUUCCCCUCGGCUAAACCCA
Gallus gallus (chicken) is the source of this 285-nucleotide long non-coding RNA. Lineage: Eukaryota; Metazoa; Chordata; Aves; Galliformes; Phasianidae. The record is from Ensembl.